Molecule: non-coding RNA, 108 nt
Organism: Citrus sinensis (sweet orange)
Lineage: Eukaryota; Viridiplantae; Streptophyta; Magnoliopsida; Sapindales; Rutaceae
Source: Rfam
AUGCCAUUAUGAGGAUAUUUUCUGAGCAACUCCUUAAAUCUUUCCCAAGCCUCACACAAACUUUCAUCAUCAAGUUGAUGAAAAGAGGUGAUUUCAUUCCGUAAUUUU